CGGCGAGUGGCGAACGGGUGAGUAUAGCAUCGGAACGUGCCAAGUAGUGGGGGAUAACCAAACGAAAGUUUGGCUAAUACCGCGUAAGCUCCAAGGAGGAAAGUAGGGGACCUAAAUAAGGCCUUACGCUAUUUGAUCGGCCGAUGUCGGAUUAGCUAGUUGGUGGGGUAAUGGCUCACCAAGGCAAUGGUCCGUAGCAGGUCUGAGAGGACGAUCCGCCACACUGGGACUGAGACACGGCCCAG
This 245-nucleotide ribosomal RNA is filed under the name uncultured Neisseriales bacterium. RNAcentral's name for it is "partial 16S ribosomal RNA". It matches the Rfam family "Bacterial small subunit ribosomal RNA", at positions 89 to 334 of the family's 1533-position model. The record is from RNAcentral. Lineage: Bacteria; Pseudomonadati; Pseudomonadota; Betaproteobacteria; Neisseriales.